RNAcentral lists this ribosomal RNA (253 nucleotides) under uncultured bacterium. RNAcentral's name for it is "partial 16S ribosomal RNA". It matches the Rfam family "Bacterial small subunit ribosomal RNA", at positions 524 to 776 of the family's 1533-position model. The record is from RNAcentral.
UACGGGGGGGGCAAGCGUUGUUCGGAAUUACUGGGCGUAAAGGGCUCGUAGGCGGCCAACUAAGUCGGAUGUGAAAUCCCCAGGCUCAACUGGGGAACUGCGUCCGAUACUGGAUGGCUUGAGUUUGGGAGAGGGAUGCGGAAUUCCAGGUGUAGCGGUGAAAUGCGUAGAUAUCUGGAGGAACACCGGUGGCGAAGGCGGCCUUCUGGACAGUGACUGACGCUGAGACGCGAAAGCGUGGGGAGCAAACAGG